GCUGGGCAUGGUGGCUCAUGCUUGUAAUCCCAGCACUUUGGGAGGCUGAGGCGGGUGGGUCACCUGAGGUCAGGAGUUUGAGACCAGCCUGGCCAACAUGGUGAAACCCCGUCUCUA
RNAcentral lists this non-coding RNA (117 nucleotides) under Nomascus leucogenys (northern white-cheeked gibbon). The record is from Rfam by way of RNAcentral. Lineage: Eukaryota; Metazoa; Chordata; Mammalia; Primates; Hylobatidae.